UACGGGGGGGGCAAGCGUUGUUCGGAAUUACUGGGCGUAAAGGGCUUGUAGGUGGCCAACUAAGUCAGACGUGAAAUCCCUCGGCUUAACCGGGGAACUGCGUCUGAUACUGGAUGGCUCGAGUGUGGGAGAGGGAUGCGGAAUUCCAGGUGUAGCGGUGAAAUGCGUAGAUAUCUGGAGGAACACCGGUGGCGAAGGCGGCAUCCUGGACCAUAACUGACACUGAGGUGCGAAAGCGUGGGGAGCAAACAGG
Molecule: ribosomal RNA, 253 nt
Filed under: uncultured bacterium
Lineage: Bacteria
Description: partial 16S ribosomal RNA
Rfam family: Bacterial small subunit ribosomal RNA
Source: RNAcentral